GCUUGGGAAGUUAGAUGGAGUUUGUUGGCUGUGCUGUGAGGAAGAAGGAGUUAGUGCUGUGAGGAGCUGCCCAUAAGAAAUCACAGAGAACAUAUGGAGCUUUUGCAAAAAGAUGACAACAAAUCCCCUCCUGCACCCAGCCAAUGACACCAGGACAUGGUUGGCCCCUGCUACCAGGACUACUGCUGACUUGUAUUCAACAUUCCUCGGUCUGCAAAUACUUUCAGGAUAACCCCAUCCCAGAGUGGCUGCCCAGGAAAUUACUGCUCCAGAGCCAUUUCAUGUGGCAAACUAAACAAAAGAAAAAGAAUUUCAAAGUUUUUCCCAGACAAAGGUACUGCAACACUUCAGAUGCCCUCAGGGAUCUCCAGCUCUAAUUAUUUACGUGAGCGAGAUUUUAAGAUCCUAAGAAAGACUUUACAUCUCUAAGGAAAGUAUAUUGUAAAGGUUUUAAAUGCAAUGCUGAGCGACUUCAAAAGAAUUCCCACUGAGUGAGACUUGUCUCAGUCAAACUAAAGUGGAAAAAGCUGGAAUUUUAACUCUGGGUGCUCUUGCUUUUGCCUAUUUUUGCCUGGAUCUUUAAUUUUACUUGUAUCCCAUUAUUUAGUAUUUUAUUUAGACUCCAAGUAAUGAAAAGCAUUUGGACCUGAAAUCUCAUCAACAUAUACAAUAAGAUGCUAUUAAAUUCUGAAUAUUUCAAAUAUCAAAUAGUUUAGGAGACUUAUAUGCUUUUAAAUAUAUAAAUGUGAAUAGGUAAAAGUAUAUUUUUGAAGUUUAAGGCAAACUGUCACACAACUGAAUUAUUUUCCAUGUCUAACUCUUAAUCUGCCUGUUCCUUUUUACAAAAGAUUUCAUUUUGGCUAUUUUAUAGAUAUAAACAUAUAGUUCUGAAAAUUGUUUGAGAAGCUAAUUUGUUUAUCAAGCUCUUUUGGGGUGGGAUAACCAGGUUAACUGUUUGCAAUUUGACUAAAGUAUAUUUUAAAAGAGAACUCUAAAUAAAAUGUGAACAAAUUGCAUCUACGGUAAAAUUAUUAAAAUCACUUAAAUCAUGGGAAUAAUGACUACAUGUGUGAAUUCAACUUAACCAAGUAUACUUGUUCUAAUUCGAAUUUGGUUGGAAAGAAAAAUGGAGUUCCUCAGUGGAAAAAAAAAAGUCAAAACCUGAACUUAAUAUGCUGGUAACACUAUACCCAGAUUAGAUGUAUUUUUAAAACGUUGAGAAAAGAAAUAAAGCUGAUCAAAUACUUUUUAAAAUAAAAAAUUGCCAGGGUCCAACACCAAAAUGUUUUUCUCAAUAGCUUAUUCUAGACCUAUCUUCCCAGACGUGAACCUUUAAUUGCAAAAAACCCACCAAAAAGUCCCCAACCAACCAAGUAACCAACCAACCACACACACCAAACCAAAAAAAAAAAAACCAACCAAAAUUAAAAAAAAAAUAAAACCACCAAAAACCAAACACACCAACCAAACCAAAAAAGAGAGGACCAAAAAACAGACCAAAACCAACAAAAUACAAAGCAAUGGAAAACACUCUUUUCAAGGCCAUGUAAACAUAUCUUUGAUAUCAACUGUCUUAAUGAAAUUGCAGAUUCUAGGUCUGCAGACAAAAUAUGUAUCUCAGAGUCACUGAGAUAAGUAUCUAUAGACAUUAAAAGUGAAGAAUAGCUGUUCAAAAACAGGAAAUCCCCACUUAUAUUGAAGCAAUACAUGAAUGUAUAAAAAUACUGUUAGCACUUUUUGAGUCCAUAAAAGAUUACAGUGCUCCCUCUGUAAUGUCAUUCUGGGAAGUUCGUAGAUAAAUGUGGGAGAGAACUUGAUGAUUAAAUUAGUACUGAGAGGUAUAACAACAUGAGUAGGUCUGCUGUGGUGUGUUGUGUAAGAAAUACAUAGGUACUUUACUCAUCUUAAAGUGACAUGCAUUAUUAAUUCUUAUUCUCCACACAGUUUAUAAAGGUGAUUUAACAAUCUUCCUGUGCUAUGCAUCAUAAUUUUUACUUUACCAAAUAACUCUAUUAAAUAUAUCAGGGGCAAAACAGUAAAUAUUUAUGUAUGGUCUGAUUGUGUCUGCCAAAUACUAUUCCAGAAAGUUUCAGUGUAACUGACCAGACUGAGAUUCCCUGCAAUGAGUAUGUUAUUGGAUAGUCAGAAAAAAACUUUCAAACUUUCCACCUAUUUUUACAUAAUUUUCCUCUGUUAAUUUGUUAGGGGUCAUAUUUUUAAAAGUAUUUUUACAUUCCCUUACUUUAGG
This is a long non-coding RNA of Passer domesticus (house sparrow), 2248 nucleotides long. RefSeq lists it as uncharacterized. The transcript is spliced from 3 exons. The record is from RefSeq and is a predicted model, not a curated record. Lineage: Eukaryota; Metazoa; Chordata; Aves; Passeriformes; Passeridae.